CCAAUAGCGUAUAUUAAAGUUGUUGCAGUUAAAAAGCUCGUAGUUGAACCUUAGGCCCGUGCGGGUGGUCCGUCCUCUGGGCGAGCACUGCCUCGUCGCGGGUCUCACCUUCUGGCGAGCGUGGAUGCCAUUCACUUGGUGUCCGCGGGAACCAGGACCUUUACCUUGAAAAAAUUAGAGUGCUCAAAGCGGGCUCGUACGCUUGAAUACAUUAGCAUGGAAUAAUGAAAUAGGACGACGGUUCUAUUUUGUUGGUUUCCGGGACAGUCGUAAUUAUUAAUAGGGAUAGUUGGGGGCAUUCGUAUUCAAUUGUCAGAGGUGAAAUUCUUGGAUUUAUUGAAGACGAACUACUGCGAAAGCAUUUGCCAAGGAUGUUUUCAUUAAUCAAGAACGAAAGUUGGGGGAUCGAAGACGAUCAGAUACCGGCGUAGUCUCAACCAUAAACUAUGCCGACUGGGAAUCGGGCGAUGUUAUUUUUCGUGACUCGCUCGGCGCCCCGAG
Molecule: ribosomal RNA, 501 nt
Filed under: uncultured Glomeromycotina
Lineage: Eukaryota; Fungi; Glomeromycota
Description: partial small subunit ribosomal RNA
Rfam family: Eukaryotic small subunit ribosomal RNA
Source: RNAcentral